Molecule: ribosomal RNA, 363 nt
Filed under: Lactiplantibacillus plantarum
Lineage: Bacteria; Bacillati; Bacillota; Bacilli; Lactobacillales; Lactobacillaceae
Description: bacterial LSU rRNA
Rfam family: Bacterial large subunit ribosomal RNA
Source: RNAcentral
CCAAGGGUUGAGCGGUUAGCCCAUUAAAGCGGUACGCGAGCUGGGUUCAGAACGUCGUGAGACAGUUCGGUCCCUAUCCGUCGCGGGCGUAGGAAAUUUGAGAGGACCUGUCCUUAGUACGAGAGGACCGGGAUGGACAUACCUCUGGUGUACCAGUUGUGCCGCCAGGCGCAUCGCUGGGUAGCUACGUAUGGAUGUGAUAAACGCUGAAAGCAUCUAAGUGUGAAACACACCUCGAGAUGAGAUUUCCCAUUCCUUUAUGGAAGUAAGACCCCUGAAAGAUGAUCAGGUAGAUAGGUUAGAAGUGGCAGUGCGGUGACGCAUGAAGCGGACUAAUACUAAUCGGUCGAGGACUUAACCAAG